GAUGAACGCUCGCUACAGGCUUAACACAUGCGAGUCGCGGGGCAGCAUGGGGGUUGCUUGCAAUCCCCGAUGGCGACCGGCGCACGGGUGAGUAACGCGUAUCCAACCUGCCCUUCACCACGGGAUAACCCGGCGAAAGUCGGACUAAUACCGUAUGUUGUCCAUUGACGGCAUCCGAUUUGGACGAAAGGCUUGGCGGUGAGGGAUGGGGAUGCGUCCGAUUAGCCAGACGGCGGGGUAACGGCCCACCGUGGCUACGAUCGGUAGGGGUUCUGAGAGGAAGGUCCCCCACACUGGAACUGAGACACGGUCCAGACUCCUACGGGAGGCAGCAGUGAGGAAUAUUGGUCAAUGGGCGUAAGCCUGAACCAGCCAAGUAGCGUGCAGGAUGACGGCCCUAUGGGUUGUAAACUGCUUUUAUGCGGGGAUAAAGUGGCCCACGUGUGGGCUUUUGCAGGUACCGCAUGAAUAAGGACCGGCUAAUUCCGUG
This 490-nucleotide ribosomal RNA is filed under the name uncultured bacterium. RNAcentral's name for it is "partial 16S ribosomal RNA". It matches the Rfam family "Bacterial small subunit ribosomal RNA", at positions 28 to 507 of the family's 1533-position model. The record is from RNAcentral.